UACUCUUUUGGAAUGCCAGAGAAUCCACGCUGCAUGACCUUUCAUCCAGGCCUUGAGUCCGUCUGCUUGAACCCCUACUCCCUGCAGAAUGCCCUGAAAAUUUAUCAGGCAGACCCUGGGCCAUUAGAGGCAAAGGAACAAGCUGUACGUGCUCGCUGGCUUACAGAAGUUUUGUGUCCUGGUGUCGGUGGAUAGGACAACCGUGUCAUCAUCCCUUCCUGUGUUGUGCCGCAUUCACCAGGAGUUCCCAGACGAAGAUGGCGAGUACACAGGGUUUAAACCUCCCAUUUAAAUGUGUGUUAUAAUUGUUUGAUUUUAUUUGUAGAAUAUGAAAAAAUGGUAGAUACUCAUAAAUGUUUAAAUAUGUUUUCAGCUUUUUCUUUCUGUUUCUGUUGUUGUUUUGUUGUUAAAAUAAGCAUCAUUGCAUUUUCUGUAAUCACAAAAACUACAGAAUUUUACAAACUGAUAAAAUGAAAAAAAUCUAUGUAUCCAAUGUUGCACUUAUAUUAAAUUAUUUCCUGUGUAAUGACA
Molecule: long non-coding RNA, 531 nt
Organism: Austrofundulus limnaeus
Lineage: Eukaryota; Metazoa; Chordata; Actinopteri; Cyprinodontiformes; Rivulidae
Exons: 2
Source: RefSeq, a predicted model, not a curated record